Molecule: non-coding RNA, 5152 nt
Organism: Macaca mulatta (Rhesus monkey)
Lineage: Eukaryota; Metazoa; Chordata; Mammalia; Primates; Cercopithecidae
Source: RefSeq, a predicted model, not a curated record
UUCUUCUUAAUGCAGAGCAGAGAAGCAGCUCUAUGAUCCAAAAUACAAACUGAGAGAUCAUCCCAGUAACUAUUUACAGCCCACGGAUAGCAAAGAAAAGAAGUGUGUAAAGUCAAGAAAAUCUAAAUGCCGGGAGCCCAGAACAAACAGGGAAAUGGAACCCUCAGAAAAUGGUUAACUUUCCAGUUCACGUCAUGGUCCCUGAAUUCUGAAAAUCACAAAGGCCUGACGCAGGAGGAAAUUUAUGGUAAAGACCCUGUCUGCUGACAGAUGGUGUUGGAGAAAUGGUUGCCACCUUUACGAUAGUUUACAUCAUCCUACUCUCCCUCACAUUCAAGGAAAGAGAAAAAAAAUGGUGGGUAAUGAUUUCUAUUUUAUUCAUUUGGUGCAACUUUUAAAUGAGGAAACCUAUAUUCCCCUAUGAAAUGCACGUUCUUUCCAAAAAACUUUUUCAUCAAAGCAAUACCCUGAUAGACCCAGUCACUCCUGUCUUAGUCAAUUCAGCCUGUUAAAACAAAGUAUCAUAGACUGGGUGGAUUAUAAACCACAGAAAUUUAUUCUUCAGAGUUCUGUAGGCUAGAAGUCCAAGAGCAGGGUGUCAGGUUCUGGUGAGGACCCUCUGCUGGGUUGCAGACUGUUGACUUCUCAUUGCAUCCCUACAGGUGGGAAAAAAAUCAAGAGAGCUCUCUGGGGACUCUUUAAUCAGGUCACUAAUUGCAUUCAUGAGGGCUCAACUCUCUCUCAUGACCUAAUCAAGUCCCAAAGGCUCCUCCUAAUACCAUCAACUUGGGGGUGAGGAUUUCAAGGUAUAAAUUUCAGGGGAUACAAACAUGCAGUCAUAAUGCCUUAUUUACAGAAAAUGUGUUUGUACCUUUCCGUUUUAAUAUAGGCAGCCUAAAUAUGUAAAAGAAAUGGAUUUAGACCUAAAAUACUCAUACUUUAUGGUUUAGUGAUAUCCCUCUAUAUUCAUUUAUUUAGUUUUCAAAACAAUUCUAUAAGUAGCUUUUAUAAUAUUGCCAGCAAUAACAGAAGACUUGAAGACUUGUCUAAGAUUUAAUAGCUAUUAAAUGGCAUCACCAGAACCAGUCUCUGACUUCCUAAUCCACCCUAUUUUUCUUCUAGCCCUGGGUGGAAUCACAGUGUUAGGAAUUAGAUAAAUAAACUUUCUCGCCCAUGUAUUAAUUUAGCUGAUCUGAAUGCUCUCCUUUAGGAAGAUUUUUCAGCAUUUCUCUAGACUUGAAGGUUUUUAUAAGGGUAAGAAACUCAAAAAGGAAUAAAGUAGACUCCUUUCACACUAAAAAUUACUUCUGACACCAUCUAGUGUUCCUGGUGUAUUUCUCAAUGUGUCCUAAGAAGUGACCAGCAUGUAAGUUAAUGCUUAUAUGUUUCAUAGGGAAGUUGGUAGCAACCAAGUAAAUUGAUUCCAAGUGAAAGCCUGUCUAUUCAUUAUUCACAAAUUCAAAUGGUAUCUUUUAUGGUUGGCAGCCUAUGAAACUCAUUCUGGUCUCAUUUCUUUGAUUUUUAUUUAUUUUCAUUUCCCAAAAUAAAUCCAUAACUUUGGAGUUAUCAGAUACACAAUAACUUAGCUAAUGAUGAACUGAUCUGAGAACUACAACUGUCCUCAUCCUAAGUAAUUAUUUCACUUGAAAUGGAAAUGGAUUUAACUUGAGAGUUGUGCAGACCCUUAGAAAAAUGCAGGAGACCUCACAUUUUCUCUCUUCCAGCAUAGAAUGAGCUACAAUCUGCAAACUGCAACACUUUUAAGGAAAUCAUGUGGGGUGGAAUCUGCACAGAUGACAGCUUCACAUUGGUGGACCUGACAGAUGACAUACUUAUUAAUAUCAUUAACACUGAGCAGCUAACUCUUCCAGCCCAUCCUAAAGAGUUUAAGAGUGCUCAAAAUUCUGAAACCCUCUGAAACAAGGGCAUUUAGAGAUACGACUUUUCCAAGUAUACAGGUAUUGCAUGGCUCAUUCAAAACCCUGACCUCACACUCUUGGAAGCUGCAACUAGUUGGAUUUCCACUUCAGUCUUCCCUGGAUUCUGAGGUCAAUCCUGGAGGCAGUUGGAAGGGUGUGUAGAGUAAGUAAAGUGUAGUGGCAUUUGCUAUGGAGUAUGAUGGAAACAACUCAUGGGUCUAGCUUUUUUUUGACCAUCUUCUUUAUUCUGCUCUAAAUCUAUGCAUGUAAGGGUUCCUGCUUCCUGUUCCUCUGUGACUAACAUCCUGAACUCUGAUUUCUUCCCAAGCCCUUCCCUGCCUAACCUACCAACUCCCUCUCUACAAGAAUUAUGUUUUCUGUCCCUGAACAAAGUAUUUUUAUGGCUACAUCUCCUAUAUCUAUUACUCUCUGGUACAACCUCUGCAAAAUUCCUAAUUAAUGACAUUUCUACUUUGUUCAUCUGUCCCGCCUGUCUUGUUUCUCACUACACUAACCACCUAAUUUAUGACAAAACUUCAAACUCAUGUCCUUUCAGGCCUGAAUCUAUAAAAAAAAGCAAGCAAGCAUGCAAGCAAGAAAGAGCCUCUAAGACAUGACUUCUUCCUUUUUCAGAACUCCUCAAAUGUCAGCAUAAGAUUCAAGUGAAAAUUCUGGGCUGAAUUUUAGGUGAGAUAUUCAGAUGACAAACAUUGUUUAGUAGCAUUGGGCUCCCCACUCAGAUCCUCCAGCAUUUUCACUUUGAACAAAGUAGUCCUUUGUGUUGCACUAUGGAUAUGAUUAGGAAAUAAGUGACAGUGUGUGGUCCUGUUUUUUUCCAGGUAAAUCAGUUAUUGCCAGGAAGCAUUUCACCUGUUCAAUACUUAGAUGGAAGAGGGAUGCAAUAUCCCAUUUCCAUCAUUAAUGUCUGUCACUCAACUAUGACAAAUUUCAUAAAUUAUCCUCAGGUGUCUAAUCUUAGUUUUCUUCCAAAUCCAAGAAGCAAUAUGAUUACUACUCUUCUUUUCCUAUAUUUUAAUGUUCCAAAUAACUCCAUAAACAAGAGGUACUGAAAAAAAUUCUGUGAGUGUCAGAGGGAUUCCCUUAAUGGAAAUGCAUCUUUAACCUUGAAUAUUUAAUCUUCAAACUGUUCAAUCAACCGUGAAUUCUCCACUAUAAAAUGCAUUGGCCUUUGAGCUUAUCUGAUUUCAGUUUACAUUAAGAGCUGAUGUUAUACAUACCCUCCAGAGAACUGGCCUUUCCCUCCUGGGUACAGUCAGCCUUCCUGGGUCUCUUUUCUCUCUGAGAGGAUGGACUUUUUGGGGGGUGGGGGUUCUUUAGAUUUUUUGGCUGACUCAGAGAAUAUCAAAGGAGAAAGAGUCCUUGGAGAUCUUUCAAAUAUGACUCCUCAUUUCUUAGAUAAGGAAACAAAGAUAAGUGAAAAGUGAUGGAUCCAAUGCUACUCAGCCGGAACACAGAUCACUCUCCUCCCAACUCAUUAGGCCAGCAGUAGGUGCUGAGUUUCUUUUCUUUACCAGGCAUUGCCCUAGGUUCUGUGAAUAUAAAAAACAGUCCUUGACUUCCAGCAGCCUGUGCACCCCACCGCCUCCUCCUUGAAGCGCAGAUGCAUCAUUUAAGGUAUUUGCCUGAACUCAAAUUAUACUUUCUUAAGAAGCUUCUGGAGGCUUUUCAUUUUAUCAGCCUCAGAGGACAAUCUCACCGGACUGAAAACUAAAUGCCUGUUUACUAAUCCAAGUGGUUGAGACCUUGAGGAAGAGCAAAAGGACAACCCACCUGAGUGUGCACAUUCACCUUGUACUCCCAGCAGCCCCGCAGUCUAUGGCUAUGAUUUAGUCUGGAGCAUCUACUAGAUCCAGAUUAGGGAGACCCUCCUUUUCACUUCCAUAACACUCCCUGUGCUUACUUGAUAUGUGGGUAUAUGUAUCUGUCUCCUCCAUUAGACUUGAGCUUCUCCAGGAUGUAAUUAUGCAUUCUACCCAUAAUGAUUAGCAUGGUACCAGACACUUAGUAGGUUCAUGCUAAAUAAUUUUCAAAUCCAUUAUUAAUAUUCAUAUAUUUAAAUUAGUUUGGCAUGGCAUGGCUAGGAAACAAGUUCUAGGAAAAGGGAUUUAGAGGUUGUGAAUUUGCUCUCUAUCCUGUAGUUUCUCUGAGUGUGCUUUUGGCCCCAUCACUUUUCAGUCCUUACCUCCAAUCAGCACAUGCAGGACAGGCACCUUCUGGCAAGGAAGGCAAGUUAUCCCUCACCUGGGAUCCCUGCCCCUCUGCACUUAGAGCAUGCAGCUGCAGCUGUGUUUCUGCACCUGUGGAAUUCAAAGCUGUGUGCACAGUCCCAGAGCAAUGCAGGCAAAGUUGCACAGGAAAGAAAGGUUAACACAUUCUGUCAGCUUCCUCUUUACAUUCAUGGUGGGGAAAAGUAAUAGAAAGGUUUUCAAGCAUAAAAGGAUCUUCCACUUCAACUACAAAAAAAAAAAAAGAAGAAGAAGAAGAAGAAGAAGAAAAAUGCCUCACAAAUAGCAUCUUCCCUUGGACAUCAAAUUGCUCUGCUGACAGGAUUCUUAAUCAAAAAGUCCAAAGAAGAAAGACGAGUGGAAUUUACAAAGACUCACCCAGAGAGAAUAAAUGAAGACAUGUGUUGUGCUUCUGUAGGUGAAAAAGGGUGGCAGAUACUCAGGACUCUGCUCUGGAGGCUCUGGAACUUGUUAUUGGAUCAACUGCUCUGAGUCCCCAGACACACUGACCUGAGCAGUAUCAGUGUUCCCCAUGACAUGGGCUGUCACCAGUAGAAUUUCCACUGUGCAUGCUGAUUAGAGGAGAUGGUGACAAAGAGGCCCUGAAUGGUGGAUAGCAGCCCCCUCUGCCUGGAAGGCUUUGAUACCGUGGAGCAUCAUCUAAGUUCUGCAUUCUCAAUUAUAACCAAGUUAAGUUACUUUAUGCAUGUAUUAAGUCACUACUUAGAAACUUACCAUGAGUCAUACUUGGCUUCAAACACCUCUGCCUGCCAUGAGAAAAUUCUGAGUAUGAAGAAAAUUUUUAUUUACUAUAAAACUUUGGCAUUUUAGGCUGCAGACAUCUGUUGCCAGGAAGAAUAAAGAAAGAAAAUGAAGGAUGAGGGAAGGGAAGAUUCAGUAACUUCUUGAGCUGGUAUGAUCACCCAAUCCUGUGAGGGAAUAGCAGGUAUUUGACAUGAGGCUCAAAAUAAAAUCAAUUGCAUUUUG